Molecule: long non-coding RNA, 195 nt
Organism: Telopea speciosissima
Lineage: Eukaryota; Viridiplantae; Streptophyta; Magnoliopsida; Proteales; Proteaceae
Exons: 3
Source: RefSeq, a predicted model, not a curated record
AACGCUGCUGCUAGGGCAUAUGAUCGAGCUGCUAUUAAGUUCCGGGGUGUUGAUGCAGACAUCAAUUUUAAUCUCAGUGAUUAUGAUGAAGAUCUGAAACAAAUGAGGAACCUGACCAAGGAAGAAUUUGUGCACAUACUUUGCCGCCAGAGCACCGGAUUCUCUAGGGGAGCUCAAAAUACAGAGGCGUGACAC